Molecule: ribosomal RNA, 1228 nt
Filed under: human gut metagenome
Description: bacterial LSU rRNA
Rfam family: Bacterial large subunit ribosomal RNA
Source: RNAcentral
CAGCCACCAUUUAAAGAGUGCGUAAUAGCUCACUGGUCGAGAGACGCUGCGCCGAAAAUGUCCGGGGCUCAAGCACGGAACCGAAGCUAUGGCAUGACAGCGAUGUCAUGGGUAGGGGAGCGUUCUUAUAAGGAAGAAGCAUUACCGUAAGGAGAUGUGGACAUAUAAGAAGUGAGAAUGCCGGUAUGAGUAUCGAAAAGAAAGGUGAGAAUCCUUUCCACCGAAAGCCCGAGGGUUCCUGAGCAACGAUCGUCGACUCAGGGUAAGUCGGGACCUAAGCCGAGGCGGAGACGCAUAGGCGAUGGACAACAGGUUGAAAUUCCUGUACCGGAUGGAGUCAAUUGAGCGAAGGAGCGACGCAGGAGGGCACAUGAUCGCGCGGCUGGAAGAGCGCGUCCAAGUGCGUAUGCGUAGAGGGAGGCAAAUCCCCCUUUACAGAAGCAGAGACAUGAUGGGGAGUUAAAGGAGACUUUGACGAACUCAUGGAUCCCACACUGCCAAGAAAAACUUCUAGCGAGACGAAAUCCGCCCGUACCGUAAACCGACACAGGUAGGCGGGGAGAGAAUCCUAAGGUGCGCGGGAAAACCCUCGUUAAGGAACUCGGCAAAUUGCAUCCGUAACUUCGGGAGAAGGAUGACCCUGAGUAGGCGAAAGGGAGAAACCCCCGGAACAGAAAAGGGUGGCAGAAAAGAGGCCCAAGCAACUGUUUACCAAAAACACAGGUGCCUGCGAAAGCGAAAGCUGAAGUAUAGGUGCUGACGCCUGCCCGGUGCUGGAAGGUUAAGGAGAGAGGUCAGCGAAAGCGAAGCUUUGAACUGAAGCCCCAGUGAACGGCGGCCGUAACUAUAACGGUCCUAAGGUAGCGAAAUUCCUUGUCGGGUAAGUUCCGACCCGCAUGAAAGGCGUAAUGAUUUGGGCACUGUCUCAACGAGGGGCCCGGUGAAAUUGAAAUACCUGUGAAGAUGCAGGUUACCCGCGACUGGACAGAAAGACCCCAUGGAGCUUCACUGCAGCUUGAGAUUGAAUCCCGGUGACAUAUGCACAGGAUAGGUGGGAGGCUAAGAAGUAAUGCCUUUGGGUGUUACAGAGCCGAUGUUGGGAUACCACCCUUAUGUUGCUGAGAUUCUAACACGGAGACUAACAACCUCGUGGACCAUCUCAGGCAGGCGGUUUGACUGGGGCGGUCGCCUCCUAAAAUGUAACGGAGGCGCCCAAAGGUUCCCUCAG